AUCCCCAGCCAUACCACCCUGAAAGCAUCCAAUCUCGUCUGAUCUUGGAAGCUAAGCAGGGUCAGGCCUCAUUAGUACUUGGAUGGGAGAAAAAUUCAGUAUAGAUA
Molecule: ribosomal RNA, 107 nt
Organism: Ictidomys tridecemlineatus (thirteen-lined ground squirrel)
Lineage: Eukaryota; Metazoa; Chordata; Mammalia; Rodentia; Sciuridae
Source: Ensembl